This 310-nucleotide long non-coding RNA is filed under the name Mytilus galloprovincialis (Mediterranean mussel). The record is from RNAcentral. Lineage: Eukaryota; Metazoa; Mollusca; Bivalvia; Mytilida; Mytilidae.
GAUUGAGAAAACAUGUGAUUCCUAAUUAUAUAAAGAAAAUGCAAAAUGUUUUCUUCGAAAAUAUUUUAUUGAACCCAUUUUGUUAUGGUUCGAUAUCAUACAUGAUGGGGGGAAAACCGGAAACGCUAAUGUUUCCAGGAAAUUUACGACAGAUUAUUAUACACUUGAGUGCACUCUAUUUCAAAAUAUACAAGAAGGUGGACAUAUAUGUUUUUUAAUAUUUAUUCAUAUUUUAUUUUCUCUUUAAAACAAAUUUUCUAAUUUAUUAAAGUGACAAUCCCUUCAAAAAGAAAAUUAUCUUCUAACAGGA